This 458-nucleotide ribosomal RNA is filed under the name uncultured bacterium. RNAcentral describes it as "bacterial SSU rRNA". It matches the Rfam family "Bacterial small subunit ribosomal RNA", at positions 94 to 587 of the family's 1533-position model. The record is from RNAcentral.
AGUGGCGGACGGGUGAGUAACACGUGGGAACGUACCUUUUGGUUCGGAACAACUCAGGGAAACUUGAGCUAAUACCGAAUGUACCCUUAGGGGGAAAGAUUUAUCGCCAUUAGAGCGGCCCGCGUUAGAUUAGCUUGUUGGUGAGGUAAAGGCUCACCAAGGCUACGAUCUAUAGCUGGUCUGAGAGGAUGAUCAGCCACACUGGGACUGAGACACGGCCCAGACUCCUACGGGAGGCAGCAGUGGGGAAUCUUGCGCAAUGGGCGAAAGCCUGACGCAGCCAUGCCGCGUGAAUGAUGAAGGUCUUAGGAUUGUAAAAUUCUUUCAGUAGGGACGAUAAUGACGGUACCUACAGAAGAAGCCCCGGCUAACUUCGUGCCAGCAGCCGCGGUAAUACGAAGGGGGCUAGCGUUGCUCGGAAUUACUGGGCGUAAGGGGAGCGUAGGCGGGUUAUCAAG